This 253-nucleotide ribosomal RNA is filed under the name uncultured bacterium. Its description in RNAcentral is "partial 16S ribosomal RNA". It matches the Rfam family "Bacterial small subunit ribosomal RNA", at positions 524 to 776 of the family's 1533-position model. The record is from RNAcentral.
UACGUAGGGUGCAAGCGUUGUCCGGAAUUAUUGGGCGUAAAGGGCUCGUAGGCGGUUUGUCGCGUCGGGAGUGAAAACUCAGGGCUUAACCCUGAGCCUGCUUCCGAUACGGGCAGACUAGAGGUAUGCAGGGGAGAACGGAAUUCCUGGUGUAGCGGUGAAAUGCGCAGAUAUCAGGAGGAACACCGGUGGCGAAGGCGGUUCUCUGGGCAUUACCUGACGCUGAGGAGCGAAAGUGUGGGGAGCAAACAGG